This is a long non-coding RNA of Oncorhynchus tshawytscha (Chinook salmon), 394 nucleotides long. The record is from Ensembl. Lineage: Eukaryota; Metazoa; Chordata; Actinopteri; Salmoniformes; Salmonidae.
AGAGAGAGGCAGAGGCGGUAAGAGAGAGAGAGGGAGGUGGUGAUAGAGAGAGAGAGAGGGAGGGAGGCGGUGAUAGAGAGAGAGAGAGAGAGGAGGUGAUAGAGAGAGAGAGAGGGAGGCGGUGAUAGAGAGAGAGAGGGAGGCGGUGAUAGAGAGAGAUGGUGAUAGAGAGAGAGAGGCGGUGAUAGAGAGAGAGAGAGAGGCGGUGAUAGAGAGAGAGAGAGGCGGUGAUAGAGAGAGAGAGGCGGUGAUAGAGAGAGAGAGAGGCAGUGAUAGAGAGAGAGAGAGGGAGGCGGUGAUAGAGAGAGAGAGAGGCGGUGAUAGAGAGAGAGAGAGAGAGAGAGAGCGGUGAUAGAGAGAGAGACGGUGAUAGAGAGAGAGACGGUGAUAGAGA